This 4557-nucleotide long non-coding RNA is filed under the name Citrus maxima (pomelo). RNAcentral describes it as "long non-coding RNA (CMAX_LNC002370)". Lineage: Eukaryota; Viridiplantae; Streptophyta; Magnoliopsida; Sapindales; Rutaceae. The record is from RNAcentral.
UGCAUAAGAAACAUCUCAAAUACAUCACUUAAAUUCAUAUAAUUCAACUACAUCAUUGUUUGGAAAAGAAAAAUAUAAGUACUAAAUUAAGUCUUGGACAAGCUCUUAACAACCAAGUGCUAAGUUAAGAUUCAACAAAUAUUAACCAACAAAAAGAAGCACAUAAUGUCAUUGAACAUCCACAAGCGGCUUCAUUUUUCUUUUCCCACCUACAAGUACAUAAAAUCAAUUAGUAUACCACAAAAAAUAAUUCUUGGAUUUUUGGGAGAAAAAACAAUCAGGCCAAUUUCAGUGUUCAAAGAGACUAACAAAGAAUGGGGCAAAAACAAUACAUAGCUCUCUUAGUGCAAGCUAAUUGUAAUAGGUAGUAUUGUGAAGAAUAUUUAUCUGCUAAGAGUUGAAUUUGAGUGGAUUUUCCUACAGAUCUAUACACAACUCAACUUAAGAAGAAUAAAAAAAUAAAAAAUAAAAAAUCCUAAGGAUUAAGAAAGAUAAAUGGAGAUUUAUUAGUAUACAUCCAAAAUUAGAAACUCAUUAAACAAUCCAGGGGUAAAAAUUGAGGAAUAAGAAUAUAACGUAUCUCAGGAUCAGACCAAAGACAUAAUAACAGAAACAUUUAAGGCAAACCACUACAAAGUUUUUACAUAAUAACCCAAAGCAAAGCAAACCAUUAUAAAAUUUUUACAUAAUAACCUAGAAACAAAACAGACGAAAAUUGGGCAAGUCCAUAUCCCAAACCUCUGUUAGGAAAAAUGUGUUCAGCAAACUUAUGGCUCCAACAAUAGAAAUUAACCCGUACACAACGAAACAAAUUAAUUGAUAUAAAAAACAGUCAAAGACAAAGCCAAAUAAGAAGAUUAACUAAUUUGGAGAUUGAAUUACAUAGUUACUUUUACAAAAUAUAGCAUAAGCCCAUUGUAUUUCAUAGUAAGCAACUGCAAAAAUGCCUAGAGGCAAAUUCAUAAAGGAAUAGUAGAUAGAAGAAAAAAAAGACGAGGAAAUAAACAGCAUGAAACAAACAAAUCACCUAACACAUCAUGGGGAAUUGACUUGUUAACGUUAAAGAGCAAAAUAAAACUUGGCACCUUCAUCCGAACAAGAACAGACGCUUACCCCUUACACAGAAUGGCUUAGGUUUUUCUUUAGAGUUUGAGGCUGACUUAUAAGAAUAUGAAGAAGAAAUGAUUGUGGAAGUUUGAUAGUGAUCAAGGAUUGAAUAUUGGGCUUAAAAUACAAAUUGGCAGUGAGGGCUGGUUUUCGAUCAUAAUGUUGAGACCACUAAUCCCCAAUACUUGUACCGUCUCACAUAAAAAUCCAAAUUUAAUAAACAUGAACUAAAUCCAGUGUAUUGAGUGUUAUUAUUUAAUGGAACAUAAAAUCUCUGGGUCAAAUAAUUCUAAAGUUAAACCAACAAUAAUCCUAAAAGCUAAAGUUGAUAAGAAAGGCCCAACAGUAUACUUCUAUCACACAAAAUUUGAAGAUAGAAAAAAGAAGGGCCUUUUUGUUUUUUAACUGAAACUGAAAAAAGAUUCAGUAUUAACAAUUCAUAAAUUUUAAAGACGUUGGUUUUCCAUCUUAACACUAAAAACUUGGUGUUUAUAUAUUCGAAUAUAAUUAAGCCAAAAAUUUUAAUUUAUCACUAAAUAGGAAAACAACUAAAUAAGCUGCAUAGUUUUAUUUUCCAAUAAAUGCUUAUUCAUUCCUUACCAUAUAAAAACCUAUCCUUCAUUAUUUAUUUAUUUUUUUAUAGGAAACAGAGAAAUUAGUAUUAAUAAGAACAAUAAUUACAAAAUGUCGAAAAGGAGUCCACAAAAAAAGGCUAUUGAAGUAUCACACACCAAGAGAAGAAUAAAUAGAAAAAUAGAAAACACUGAGGCAUUCAAACCCUCAACAAUAAACUCAACAUAUCAACUUUAAACAAAUAGAUUCUUGACUGUUCUUAGUGACAUUAAGAAACAAAUUAAAAGAAGGAAACUCCCCAGAAGAAACAUAAAAGACAAACUAAAUUUCACGAAAGCAUACAAACAACUACUCAGAUGUCCUAAAGAACUCUGUGCUCAACCUAAAGACAGAAAUGCCCUUUUGUUGGAGAAACUAUGAACACAACGCAUUAUAGGUACAAACAUGAUAAAAUGAUUUUCCAGGAUUCACUCGACAUGUCAUCCAAGGUGAUACAAAACGGUAGAACUAUAGAACUAGGACAAAACUUGCAGCAAGAUAAUGGCAAUUUCCCCCUUUCGUGUAAGAUAAUCAUAUUAUUCUUCAAAGAGAGACACACACAAAAAAAAAAAAAACCUACAAAAAAAAAAAAGCUUGUUGAAAACAAGCAAGCAUAUGGGUAUGAGUCUAUUGUUGUUUAUUUAUGAAUCAUGUUAAUAACCAGCCACAGAAAAUAGUAAACAAUAGUUUUCACACAAUCAAUGCAUAUUAACACAAGCCACGGAUUAUGAUUUCACUAACCAUUGCACACAAAGGUUCCAGACCAAUUUUAGAAGGAGGUUCUACAAGUUACUUUCCUUCAACUACUUGAAAAUCAAUCAUUAACUAAAGAAAUACACAUGAAAUUAGUUUAAAUAAUAGGAAAGGUAAGGAGACAUUUUAUAAAAACUCUUAAAUGUGGUACUCUGAUUUCCACAGACUGUGCAACAAAAAUAAAAUUGGAUGAACUAUAAUAAGUGAGAAGACAUAUUGUAAUUCUAUCAUCAAAGAAAGAUAAGCUUAAUCAUUUUUAAUUUUUUCUCAAAUAUCCAGUAGUACCUUAAGGUAAUAGGACAAGAUCACAGAAGUUGUCAUGAAGAGUGUAAAGCACUAAAUAACAAAAAUUAUACUAAUAAAUAAAACUCAAUUUAUUUUCUCCCUCAAUCAAUUGCUUUGAGCUUACUAUGAAUUCAACUAUGAAUUUGAGGAAAAAAUACAGACCUCAGUUUGCCAACUUCUUGUUCAUGAGAUUCAGCCGCAGUAAAUGCAAAGCUCCAUUUCUCGUCAAGCAUUGUUAACCUCUACGACAAAUUGAAGUUAAGAAGAUGAACAAAAUAAGUGUAAUGUGCAGGAAAAAAAAUGAAGUCUAUGGGUACAACAACACUUCAAGAUUUUUCAAGUUCUAGUUCAUUUAAAUAGACAUUCCUUGAACUUCAGCAGCAAAGAAAGUACAUUAUAGCAACAAUUUCAAUUCAUUUCAAUCUUUAGAAUUUUUUAUUUUAAAAAAAUAAAUUCCUUCAAACUAGUGAAAGGAAAAUAAAAGUGUGUUUACAGAAGAAAAAUCAUGGAAUGAAUUAAUGACCAUGCCAGUGAGGAAACACAGAAAUUUCUGAAUAAGAGCGAAACUAACCGUGCAAAUGAACAAAGAAAAUGUAAGUCUUCAAGUGCUACAACAAGCAAAACUACCUAAAAACAAGCAUUUUCUUCUUGAAUUAAAGACAAAUCAUGAACUUUGUGCAAUCUCAAAACAUUCAGACAAGCAUGAACUUAGUUAAUUCAUAUCAUAGUCAUUGUCUCUAUUAAAAAUCUUCCAACUGAAAAAAAUAAAAAAAUAAACAUGUUGGUUUCUAUAACAUAAUUUGCCUAUCUUUACAUGAAACAGAGCAAUAAAUAACAAGUAAUAAUUAUGAAAUACACAGCCAUUCAAUCUACAUAAUAUAGAAAUAUAGGAAAAAAAAGAAAAAAAUUCAAAUUACAAUUAAAUAAACAAAAAAUAGAUAUGGAAAAGAAAUCCCACCAAGACUGCACUACUGGGAGAAUUUCUCAACAUCUACAAAAACCCAGUAAAUUAAAAUUAACAAAAAACCCUAAUAAUCAUAAGCUAAAAUAAAACAAAUCUGUUAAUUAAUUUGACAAAGAAAAUAAAAUAUUAAGCAUUACCAGCAGUUAAAGCCUUAAUCAAGGCAACCUGUUUGCCCUUAAAGUCAUUGAAAAUCUCCUUCACAGGUCUACGUAUAAGGUGUGGUAUCCCUUCCAUAGCAAGAAAAUUAACUAAUUUCUCAAUAAUUUUAUUCAAAUUCAAGCAAAUGGGUUUUGAAUAUUAACAAAAAAAAGUGAAAUAUGACCAUAAAAAGAAAAAAAAUUUGAUGAAAGAAGCCUCGAUUACGGUUUUGGUCCGUUUUUCAAUUUGGGAAAAAAAAUGAAAAAGGGAAUAAAAGACUCACUUAGGGUUUUGGCUUUAUAUUAUCUAUUUGAGUUAAAUGAACGAGUUUGUGAAUGGACAAAAAAAAAAAAAAAAGGAAGAGAUCGAGAAGAGAAAAAGGAAAGAGAAGGAGAAAGGCAAGAGACAGUUUUGGGUUUGAGUUUGGGUUAGAGAUUUGUGUGUAUAAAAGACAGGGAGACGGGGACAAUUGCUAAGUUUGGGAUAUGUUUUACUUUUGUUUUACAUGUUGUAAAUUCUUAAUUUAGUACCUGCAGUGUCGAACCACUUGAACGGAAGUGAUAGUGGCAACGACAUGGGGGUUGGGCGCGGCCGUGGACGUGGGUGUUUGGGCCUGGUCAUUCUCCAUCUUUCACGAUAGAGAAGAAGUCAAGAAAGGCAAGGAAAUUACGCAGCAGCUGCGGCAUGGGCUCUAUUGC